ACGCACGCUGGCGGCGUGCUUCACACAUGCAAGUCGCACGGAAAGGCCCUGCUUUUGUGGGGUGCUCGAGUGGCGAACGGGUGAGUAACACGUGAGUAACCUGCCCUUGACUUUGGGAUAACUUCAGGAAACUGGGGCUAAUACCGGAUAGGAGCUCCUGCUGCAUGGUGGGGGUUGGAAAGUUUCGGCGGUUGGGGAUGGACUCGCGGCUUAUCAGCUUGUUGGUGGGGUAGUGGCUUACCAAGGCUUUGACGGGUAGCCGGCCUGAGAGGGUGACCGGCAACAUGGGGAUUGAGAGAGGGCCAAGCCGCCUGGGGGAGGAAGCAGGGGGAAAUAUGGAAAAGGGGGGGGAAGCCGGAGGCAGCAACGCCGGGGGGGGGAGGAGGGCCUGCGGGGUGUAAACCGCUUCCGCCGGGGAGGAAGGGGGAGGGAGGGUAGGGGGUAAAGAAGCACCGGCUAACUAAGGG
Molecule: ribosomal RNA, 467 nt
Filed under: uncultured bacterium
Lineage: Bacteria
Description: partial 16S ribosomal RNA
Rfam family: Bacterial small subunit ribosomal RNA
Source: RNAcentral